This 119-nucleotide ribosomal RNA is filed under the name Pteropus alecto (black flying fox). Lineage: Eukaryota; Metazoa; Chordata; Mammalia; Chiroptera; Pteropodidae. The record is from RNAcentral.
UUCUACAGCCAUACCACCCUGAACAAGCCCAAUCCUGUCCUAUCUUGGAAACUAAGCAAGGUCGGGCCUGGUUAGUACUUGGAUGGGAGACCACCUAGGAAGACCAGGUGCUGUAGGUG